CGAUUCGUUCGGGGCAGAUAGCUGAGUAACAUGUGGCCAACCUGCCCUGUGGAUGAGGAUAACCUCGGGAAACUGAGGCUAAUACUCAAUAGCAGAGGAUAUCUGGAAUAGAUUCCUCUGUGAAAUGUUCCGACGCCAUAGGAUGGGGCCGCAGCUGAUUAGGUCGUUGGUGAGGUAACGGCUCACCAAGCCAGUAAUCAGUAGCAGCCGUGAGAGCGGGAGCUGCCAGUCGUGUUCUGAGACAAGAACACGGACCCUACGGGGUGCAGCAGGCACGAAACCUUUACAAUGCACUAACGUGCGAUAAGGGGACUCCGAGUGUAGUCUUCCCACAAGGAAGGCUACUUUUCUGUACUGUAAGGAGGUACCGGAACAAGGGGUGGGCAAUACUGCUGCCAGCCGCCGCGGUAAUAGCAGAACCCCAAGUGGUAGUCAUUAUUAUUGGGUUUAAAGUGUUCGUAGCCGGAUCUGCAAGUCCGCUGUGAAAUCCACAUGCUUAACAUGUGGGCGUGCAGCGGAUACUGCAGGUCUAGGAACCGGACGGCGUCGAGGCUAUUCCAAGGGUAGGGGUGAAAUCCUAAAAUCCUUGGAGGAGCACCUGUGGCGAAAGCGCUCGACGAGUACGGAUUCGACGGUGAGGAACGAAAGCUAGGGGAGCAAAGCGGAUUAGAUACCCGCGUAGUCCUAGCUGUAAACAUUGUCUGUUUGAUGUCGGAGAACCUUCGAGGUUUUCCGGUGCCGAAGUGAAAA
Molecule: ribosomal RNA, 750 nt
Filed under: uncultured archaeon
Lineage: Archaea
Description: bacterial SSU rRNA
Rfam family: Archaeal small subunit ribosomal RNA
Source: RNAcentral